Molecule: ribosomal RNA, 469 nt
Filed under: uncultured bacterium
Lineage: Bacteria
Description: partial 16S ribosomal RNA
Rfam family: Bacterial small subunit ribosomal RNA
Source: RNAcentral
GACGAACGCUGGCGGCGUGCUUAACACAUGCAAGUCGAACGGAAAGGCCCUGCUUGCCGGGUGCUCGAGUGGCGAACGGGUGAGUAACACGUGGGUGAUCUGCCCCUUACUUUGGGAUAAGCCUGGGAAACUGGGUCUAAUACUGGAUAGGACCAUGCUGUAGGUGGUGUGGUGGAAGGAUUAGUUUCGGUAAGGGAUGAGCUCGCGGCCUAUCAGCUUGUUGGUGGGGUAUUGGCCUACCAAGGCGUCGACGGGUGGCCGGCCGGAGAGGGUGGACGGCCACAUUGGGACUGAGAGACGGCCCAGACGCCUACGGGAGGCAGCAGUGGGGAAUAUUGCACAAUGGGCGCAAGCCUGAUGCAGCGACGCCGCGUGGGGGAUGACGGCCUUCGGGUUGUAAACUCCUUUCAGCCAUGACGAAGCCCUUGUGGUGACGGUAGUGGUAGAAGAAGCACCGGCUAACUACGUG